CCACCCUGGCCGAGAGAGCGGGGGAGGCAGCUUGGUCACCUCCCCCUAGAGCACCUCUGCCUUCCAAAAGCUGCCCCACCCCUUGCCCAGGCCAAGCUGCAGUCUGACCUUCACUGGCAGCUCUCCUUCCUCCAAAGAAACCCCUGUGGAUCUCAGUGUCCUCAUUUGUGGAGUAAGACCUGUGGGCUAGACACUGUCCAAGGUAGGACUGUCCUUUAUGUGGGCCAUUUGUGUGGGCCAGCCGGUGGCUAAACAGGUGAUUGCAUAUAGUAUAAUGAUAAAAUGUUGAUGUUGGUAUGUUUUAACAGAAGCAGAACUGAAUUUCGAAAAGAAAAGCAAGAAAUCUCAAAUGGUGUUCUAUUUGGAGCAAUCAAGGACCACACUCAAUGACCUAUUAGUAAAUGUAUGUAUGUAUAUUUCCUGAGCCCUGGGUCACUAGAACAAAAGAGAUUGUAUAGUGGGUAUGAGUUAUUCAGUAGUAUACAGCUAUGGGUUUCAAAUGGCCAAAGCAAGGGAACUCUUGUUUCAAUCAAUAUCUCAUACAGGAGCCCAAUUUAUAUAACAUAUACAGAACAUAUGCAAAGGGUAUAUUAUAAGCUGAGAUUAGUAUAAAAUCAGGCGUUGAGACAAAUGAGGCUCUUUUGACCAACCCAGAUCUGUGUAGCAGGGACCAUUGUCACCUUACAUCGGCCUCAGGAUUCCAAUUUUCUUUUGCACGUUGUUUUGGUUGUACAGUAUCAAGACAAUUCUGAUUUGCAUGGGAAGUUAACAAUAUGUGCAGAGAUGGCCGGAGAAACUAGACACUGAAGUCUGCAUUCAAACAAGGAACUGUAGAGCAGGUUAGCGCAUUCAUCUCCUUUGUGAUAAAAUUUGUAUAUAAACACAUUUGGAUAUGUAUGUGUGUGUGUGUUACACUUGAAAAUAUACCAAAAACCAAAAUAAAAAUGAACAUCACCAAUAAUGAGA
Molecule: long non-coding RNA, 966 nt
Organism: Myotis daubentonii (Daubenton's bat)
Lineage: Eukaryota; Metazoa; Chordata; Mammalia; Chiroptera; Vespertilionidae
Source: RefSeq, a predicted model, not a curated record